CCUACGGGUGGCAGCAGUGAGGAAUAUUGGUCAAUGGACGCGAGUCUGAACCAGCCAAGUAGCGUGAAGGAUGACUGCCCUAUGGGUUGUAAACUUCUUUUAUAUGGGAAUAAAAUGUUCCACGUGUGGGAUUUUGUAUGUACCAUAUGAAUAAGGAUCGGCUAACUCCGUUCCAGCAGCCGCGGUAAUACGGAGGAUCCGAGCGUUAUCCGGAUUUAUUGGGUUUAAAGGGAGCGUAGGUGGAUUGUUAAGUCAGUUGUGAAAGUUUGCGGCUCAACCGUAAAAUUGCAGUUGAAACUGGCAGUCUUGAGUACAGUAGAGGUGGGCGGAAUUCGUGGUGUAGCGGUGAAAUGCUUAGAUAUCACGAAGAACUCCGAUUGCGAAGGCAGUUCACUGGACUGCAACUGACACUGAGGCUCGAAAGUGUGGGUAUCAAACAGGAUUAGAUACCCCUGUAGUC
Molecule: ribosomal RNA, 460 nt
Filed under: uncultured bacterium
Lineage: Bacteria
Description: partial 16S ribosomal RNA
Rfam family: Bacterial small subunit ribosomal RNA
Source: RNAcentral